RNAcentral lists this ribosomal RNA (534 nucleotides) under uncultured marine bacterium. RNAcentral describes it as "bacterial SSU rRNA". It matches the Rfam family "Bacterial small subunit ribosomal RNA", at positions 83 to 651 of the family's 1533-position model. The record is from RNAcentral.
UCUUCGGAUCUAGUGGCAGACGGGUGAGUAACGCGUGGGAACCUGCCCAGUAGUAGAGGACAACUUGGGGAAACUUAAGCUAAUACUUUAUACGUCCUUCGGGAGAAAGCUUUAUGCGCUAUUGGAUGGGCCCGCGUUAGAUUAGUUUGUUGGUGAGGUAAUGGCUCACCAAGACUACGAUCUAUAGCUGGUCUGAGAGGAUGAUCAGCCACACUGGGACUGAGACACGGCCCAGACUCCUACGGGAGGCAGCAGUGGGGAAUAUUGGACAAUGGGGGCAACCCUGAUCCAGCGAUGCCGCGUGAGUGAUGAAGGCCCUAGGGUUGUAAAACUCUUUCGUCAGGGAAGAUAAUGACGGUACCUGAAGAAGAAGAUCCGGCUAACUCCGUGCCAGCAGCCGCGGUAAUACGGAGGGAUCUAGCGUUAUUCGGAAUUACUGGGCGUAAAGCGAGCGUAGGCGGAUUUGUAAGUUGGAGGUGAAAUCCCAGAGCUUAACUCUGGAACUGCCUUCAAAACUACAUUCUUUGAGUUUGG